RNAcentral lists this ribosomal RNA (497 nucleotides) under uncultured bacterium. Its description in RNAcentral is "partial 16S ribosomal RNA". It matches the Rfam family "Bacterial small subunit ribosomal RNA", at positions 28 to 507 of the family's 1533-position model. The record is from RNAcentral.
GACGAACGCUGGCGGCGUGCCUAAUACAUGCAAGUUGAGCGCUGAAGGUUGGUACUUGUACCAACUGGAUGAGCAGCGAACGGGUGAGUAACGCGUGGGGAAUCUGCCUUUGAGCGGGGGACAACAUUUGGAAACGAAUGCUAAUACCGCAUAAAAACUUUAAACACAAGUUUUAAGUUUGAAAGAUGCAAUUGCAUCACUCAAAGAUGAUCCCGCGUUGUAUUAGCUAGUUGGUGAGGUAAAGACUCACCAAGGCGAUGAUACAUAGCCGACCUGAGAGGGUGAUCGGCCACAUUGGGACUGAGACACGGCCCAAACGCCUACGGGAGGCAGCAGUAGGGAAUCUUCGGCAAUGGACGAAAGUCUGACCGAGCAACGCCGCGUGAGUGAAGAAGGUUUUCGGAUCGUAAAACUCUGUUGGUAGAGAAGAACGUUGGUGAGAGUGGAAAGCUCAUCAAGUGACGGUAACUACCCAGAAAGGGACGGCUAACUACGUG